GCUGCACCAGCUCGCGCUGCGCCUGGACGGCUGGGCGCCGCCCGACCCCGUCUGCGUCGACCGCGUCGGCGUCUACUUCAGGCAUAUCACGCACGCGAAAACUGGUGCGACGGCGCGUAUCGUACUAGAAGUAUGCCUGGAGGGUUCAGCGCGUAAGCUGGUGACGGUGCGCUCGGCGCUGGUGCUGCGCAACACGCUGCCGCACGCCGUCGAGGUGCGCGUGGACUACGCGCCGCCCACGGCGCAAUGGAGCGGCAGCGGCGUGCGCGUGGCGCAGGUGGAGCCGGGCGCGAUGUGGGCGGCGCCGCUGGCCGCCGA
This is a long non-coding RNA of Ostrinia nubilalis (European corn borer), 318 nucleotides long. RefSeq lists it as uncharacterized. The transcript is spliced from 3 exons. NCBI's taxonomy places the organism in Eukaryota, Metazoa, Arthropoda, Insecta, Lepidoptera, Crambidae. The record is from RefSeq and is a predicted model, not a curated record.